UACGUAGGUGGCAAGCGUUGUCCGGAUUUACUGGGCGUAAAGGGUGCGUAGGCGGAUGAUUAAGUCAGAUGUGAAAUACCAGGGCUCAACCCUGGGGCUGCAUUUGAUACUGGUUAUCUAGAGUGCAGGAGAGGAGAGCGGUAUUCCUAGUGUAGCGGUGAAAUGCGUAGAGAUUAGGAAGAACACCAGUGGCGAAGGCGGCUCUCUGGACUGUAACUGACGCUGAGGCACGAAAGCGUGGGGAGCAAACAGG
Molecule: ribosomal RNA, 253 nt
Filed under: uncultured bacterium
Lineage: Bacteria
Description: partial 16S ribosomal RNA
Rfam family: Bacterial small subunit ribosomal RNA
Source: RNAcentral